GUUUCCUUUAGUGUAUUCUCCUUCUGUUUUACCUUUUCAUUUAUGAGUAUAUACAGUUUUCUAAUUCUACAUUGAAUAAUUACUUGUAAAACAAUACAUAUUAUAGAUACACAUACAACAAUGAUAAAUGGAUGAAAUAAAAUAUUUACAAUUGCUGAUCCCACAGAUGAUUUAGCAAGUGUGUUUGUACUUUUAAUUAUGUCAUUCCACCAAGAGGAACUAGAAACAAUUGACCAUUCAUGUUCUAUCUCCUUUAAUUUACCCUGUUCAUGUUCAAAUUGAAUUUCUGUUUCUCUCAACUGUUUUUGUAACGAAUAUAAUAAUAUCUUGUCUUUCCUAAUCUCAUCUGCCCACUUUCUCCAUGGAAACUCAUUUGUUUGUGAAACAUUUAAUUGAAUAGGCAUGAUAUCUAUAUCUUGUAUAGGACUAUUCGAUAUGUUAACUUGAG
Molecule: non-coding RNA, 448 nt
Organism: Pelobates cultripes (western spadefoot toad)
Lineage: Eukaryota; Metazoa; Chordata; Amphibia; Anura; Pelobatidae
Source: the annotation of a GenBank genome assembly